CACGUAGUUAGCCGUGGCUUUCUGGUUAGGUACCGUCAAGGUGCUAGCAGUUACUCUAGCACUUGUUCUUCCCUAACAACAGAACUUUACGACCCGAAGGCCUUCAUCGUUCACGCGGCGUUGCUCCGUCAGACUUUCGUCCAUUGCGGAAGAUUCCCUACUGCUGCCUCCCGUAGGAGUCUGGGCCGUGUCUCAGUCCCAGUGUGGCCGAUCACCCUCUCAGGUCGGCUACGCAUCGUUGCCUUGGUGAGCCGUUACCUCACCAACUAGCUAAUGCGCCGCGGGUCCAUCUGUAAGUGAUAGCGAGAAGCCAUCUUUCAAAUUUGAACCAUGCGGUUCAAAUUAUUAUCCGGUAUUAGCUCCGGUUUCCCGGAGUUAUCCCAAUCUUACAGGCAGGUUACCCACGUGUUACUCACCCGUCCGCCGCUAAUCUUUGGGAGCAAGCUCCCUCAGAUUCGCUCGACUUGCAUGUAUUAGGCACGCCGCCAGCGUUCGUCCUGAGCCAGGAUA
RNAcentral lists this ribosomal RNA (510 nucleotides) under uncultured Bacillus sp. RNAcentral's name for it is "partial 16S ribosomal RNA". Lineage: Bacteria; Bacillati; Bacillota; Bacilli; Caryophanales; Bacillaceae. The record is from RNAcentral.